UGUGGGGGGGGAACAGGGAGGGUGAAAACCACCCAGCGGAGCCGCCGGGGCGGGGAGGAAACCUGCGCCAGGAGCCACGUGCUGGAGCCGGCGCUGGGUGGGUGGCUCGGGGAGCGGUGGGGGAGGGAGAGGCCCUUGCUGGGAAAGGCCCCAGGCCACGUUUCUGGGGGAGGAGAAGAACCGCGGGUGGACACCCUGGGCCCCAGGCCACCAGGGAACCUUCACCUCCGUCUGGAUAAUGCAGCCCAGAUCUCUUUGAUGGGAGCAGCUCUGGCCAAGCCCUGCCUGCUUGGGGUUGGACCUGAAGAAAUGCACUGGCCUAACCUAAUUGCCUUUUCGGACCUCGGUGGGACGGCGCUGGGGCUGGGACGGGAGGCUCUCCCACCUCACACCCUUCAAAGGGGAUGUACGUCCAAGGGUCGAAGAAUUGGAGAGCCUAAGUAAACCCAGGGUGGUUGGCUGUCCAGGGAAGGUGGGGGGAGUCGUAGGAAGAAGAAAGGAAGCAUGCAAAAGAAGGAAGAAGCAUUUAAGCACGUGAUAAGGACAUAACUGCAGUCCUUGGAAAGGUGGAUUUCCUACUCCCUGGGAAUUUAAGCCAAAAUCCCCUCAGCAGAGAAAAUGGAUUAGCUGCAGGAAGGAAUGAGACACGUUGAGGAGUCUGGGCUGCUUCCGAGUGGAUGCUCAAGAAGGGCUAGAGACCCUUUAAGAAGCACCCACCUGCAGUGGCCUAAGUGGCACCUAGAAACUUCUGUAAACCCUUACGGUUUUUCCUGCCUAAUCAAUCAGGAAGGGAGAGGAGCCAGGAAGUCAAGGCGGCAAACCUCCACAGGUGCCUGGGUUUCCUCCCCUGCCCUCCAUCUCACCUCACUCCCCCCACCCAUGGACCCCCCCCAUGACCCCCUCUCCCCGCCCCCUGCAACCAGGAGCAAACACAACUGCCACUGGUGGGCCCCCUGCUGGAAUUUAUUCUCAGUCUCUUUUCCAGCUUUGCCAUGCUGUUCUUUCAAAGCCACAGCUCAACAAGUGAUGCCAGCCCAGGGAGGGGGUGUCGUCUGUGUCUCCUCUUGCAGGCGGAAGCAGCACCACAGCCGGGAGAACAAAACCCGUUUGGAUCUGUCCAGAGCUGUUUGUCAGUACUGCCUUCCAGGACCACGUGAGCUGCCUCUUGCCCCACGUGACCCUCAUUCAAACUCAGGGAGAACGAGAGCUCCCGGGCCCCUUCUCCUCGGACAGCCUAAUCCCACGUGUGCAGAUGGGUGGCUCAUUUCUGCCAGCUCAAAAUAA
RNAcentral lists this long non-coding RNA (1284 nucleotides) under Sus scrofa (pig). RNAcentral's name for it is "lncRNA (ENSSSCG00035013080.1)". Lineage: Eukaryota; Metazoa; Chordata; Mammalia; Artiodactyla; Suidae. The record is from RNAcentral.